This 406-nucleotide ribosomal RNA is filed under the name uncultured bacterium. Its description in RNAcentral is "partial 16S ribosomal RNA". It matches the Rfam family "Bacterial small subunit ribosomal RNA", at positions 30 to 526 of the family's 1533-position model. The record is from RNAcentral.
AUUGAACGCUGGCGGCAGGCCUAACACAUGCAAGUCGAGCGAGUGGCGUACGGGUGAGUAAUGUCUGGGCAACUGCCUGAUGGAGGGGGAUAACUACUGGAAACUGUAGCUAAUACCGCAUACCAUCAGAUGGGCCGAGAUGGGAUUAGCUAGUGGGUGGGGUAACGGCUCACCAAGGCGACGAUCCCUAGCUGGUCUGAGAGGAUGACCAGCCACACUGGAACUGAGACACGGUCCAGACUCCUACGGGAGGCAGCAGUGGGGAAUAUUGCACAAUGGGCGAAAGCCUGAUGCAGCCAUGCCGCGUGUAUGAAGAAGGCCUUCGGGUUGUAAAGUACUUUCAGCGGGGAGGCGUUACCCGCAGAAGAAGCACCGGCUAACUCCGUGCCAGCCGCCGCGGUAAUAC